AGUGGGGAAUAUUGCACAAUGGGCGGAAGCCUGAUGCAGCGACGCCGCGUGAGGGAUGACGGCCUUCGGGUUGUAAACCUCUUUCAGCAGGGACGAAGCGUAAGUGACGGUACCUGCAGAAGAAGCGCCGGCCAACUACGUGCCAGCAGCCGCGGUAAGACGUAGGGCGCGAGCGUUGUCCGGAUUUAUUGGGCGUAAAGAGCUCGUAGGCGGCUUGUCGCGUCGACUGUGAAAACCCGCAGCUCAACUGCGGGCCUGCAGUCGAUACGGGCAGGCUAGAGUUCGGUAGGGGAGACUGGAAUUCCUGGUGUAGCGGUGAAAUGCGCAGAUAUCAGGAGGAACACCGGUGGCGAAGGCGGGUCUCUGGGCCGAUACUGACGCUGAGGAGCGAAAGCGUGGGGAGCGAA
RNAcentral lists this ribosomal RNA (407 nucleotides) under uncultured Micromonospora sp. RNAcentral describes it as "bacterial SSU rRNA". It matches the Rfam family "Bacterial small subunit ribosomal RNA", at positions 353 to 772 of the family's 1533-position model. Lineage: Bacteria; Bacillati; Actinomycetota; Actinomycetes; Micromonosporales; Micromonosporaceae. The record is from RNAcentral.